This 278-nucleotide unclassified non-coding RNA is filed under the name uncultured Anabaena sp. RNAcentral describes it as "partial 16S-23S ribosomal RNA intergenic spacer". The record is from RNAcentral. Lineage: Bacteria; Bacillati; Cyanobacteriota; Cyanophyceae; Nostocales; Nostocaceae.
UAGGGAGACCUAAUCCAUUUAGAAAUCGAAAACAAUGAAAAUUGUCAAUAGAAACUAAAUUGGUCUAACCUAGGUCGUUCGAGAUUGGUAGACAUCUUUCAAAGUAUUAUUCGGCUUCGUUCAAAACCAUAUAUAAUAAAUGGAAAAAGACAGCACCUAAUUGUCAAAGUUAGACUGCUGGAUGAAGUUCCAGCCAGAACCUUGAAAACUGCACAAGAGAACAAGAAAAAGCAGGCAGACACAGACAUUUAGAUGGAUGUGGAAGCAAAAGAAAUUGU